This 253-nucleotide ribosomal RNA is filed under the name uncultured bacterium. Its description in RNAcentral is "partial 16S ribosomal RNA". It matches the Rfam family "Bacterial small subunit ribosomal RNA", at positions 524 to 776 of the family's 1533-position model. The record is from RNAcentral.
UACGUAGGGUGCAAGCGUUAAUCGGAAUUACUGGGCGUAAAGCGUGCGCAGGCGGUUAUGUAAGACAGGUGUGAAAUCCCCGGGCUUAACCUGGGAACUGCAUUUGUGACUGCAUAGCUAGAGUACGGUAGAGGGGGAUGGAAUUCCGCGUGUAGCAGUGAAAUGCGUAGAUAUGCGGAGGAACACCGAUGGCGAAGGCAGCCCCCUGGGCUGAGAUUGACGCUCAGGCACGAAAGCGUGGGGAGCAAACAGG